Molecule: non-coding RNA, 45 nt
Filed under: Schistosoma margrebowiei
Lineage: Eukaryota; Metazoa; Platyhelminthes; Trematoda; Strigeidida; Schistosomatidae
Source: RNAcentral
AUCCAUUUGAUGAGUUCCAAGUAGGACGGAACGCGCGUCCUGUAU